Zeugodacus cucurbitae (melon fly) is the source of this 626-nucleotide long non-coding RNA. RefSeq lists it as uncharacterized. The transcript is spliced from 2 exons. NCBI's taxonomy places the organism in Eukaryota, Metazoa, Arthropoda, Insecta, Diptera, Tephritidae. The record is from RefSeq and is a predicted model, not a curated record.
CGUACCUAAAAUUACCAGAGACCGAAAAUAUAUCAUAAAUUUAUCCUUCCAUACAUAUGUACAUACCUCACUAAAAUUGAUAUUUUUGUAAUUCUUAAAAGAAAAAGCAAUAGCUGAAUAUGCUGUUAUGUUUAUUAAUGCUUUAUUUCUGUUUGCCACACAAAAAAUCGACGACACUUUGCUCAUAAUACCGUUAGUAUAAGUCCACUAUGUAAAUCGGGUCGCUACAUAGAGAAUAGCUCAGAAUGCCACUUGGAACUAAAUUUCGUCUGAGGAACAGAUCAAGAUUGAGAUUAUGAACAAAGAUGAUUUAAAAUUUAUGUAAUUACUGAUGAGUUGCUCCACAUUACAGCGGGCUUAUCCCUAUAAGUCCCAAGACAACGUGUAAAACAAAUGUUGAGGGGAAACUUAAAUCUUAAAUAUGAAUCCAAAGUGUCUAAAUUGCGCUUAUAAGAUCGCCAUAAAAACGAAUGCAUCCUUUUUCGAAAAAUACAAAUUCUAAGAAGUAGAGUUUCAAAAUUUGAUAUUUAGUGAUGAUAAAACAUUAAAUUUAGAUGGAUCAUAAGUAUUUGAGAGAUCUACGGGACCCUCGCCAUACUUACUAUAAGCGCAAACAUGGCGGUGAA